Non-coding RNA from Paramuricea clavata, 364 nucleotides. The record is from the annotation of a GenBank genome assembly. NCBI's taxonomy places the organism in Eukaryota, Metazoa, Cnidaria, Anthozoa, Malacalcyonacea, Plexauridae.
CACGUGUAUUUUCAGUUCUAAAAUGUUGUAUUUUGGCUGAUUAUAAAGAUCGUGACUCAAUAUUUACGACCGUUACGACCAUAUGGAAACCAGGUUUCAAAGGCGUGGUGUCAAGGUCACCAAACUACUGUAUUAUAGUUAGCUAGUUGAUCAUUGCGAUGAAUACAAAAUCAAUUUACAUGGGUUACGUCUUUUUUAAUGAUGGUUACGUCUUUUUUAAUCCCGGUGAGCUUUCCGCAUUAAUUUCACAUGAAUUUUUAGUGAGAAAGCAGGAGCUAAUUUAGUUGAUGUACUGUCAGAAAGCAACGGCAGUAAACUAUUGUCAAGCGAAAUUUCAAGACAACAGAAAUGAAUAUAAUCUUUA